This 468-nucleotide ribosomal RNA is filed under the name uncultured bacterium. Its description in RNAcentral is "partial 16S ribosomal RNA". It matches the Rfam family "Bacterial small subunit ribosomal RNA", at positions 28 to 507 of the family's 1533-position model. The record is from RNAcentral.
GACGAACGCUGGCGGCGUGCUUAACACAUGCAAGUCGAACGGAAAGGCCCUGCUUUUGUGGGGUGCUCGAGUGGCGAACGGGUGAGUAACACGUGAGUAACCUGCCCUUGACUUUGGGAUAACUUCAGGAAACUGGGGCUAAUACCGGCUAGGAGCUCCUGCUGCAUGGUGGGGGUUGGAAAGUUUCGGCGGUUGGGGAUGGACUCGCGGAUUAUCAGCUUGUUGGUGGGGUAGUGGCUUACCAAGGCCUUGACGGGUAGCCGGCCUGGGAGGGUGACCGGCCACACUGGGACUGGGAUGCGGCACAGACUCCUACGGGAGGCAGCAGUGGGGAAUAUUGCACAAUGGGCGGAAGCCUGAUGCAGCAACGCCGCGUGCGGGAUGACGGCCUUCCGGUUGUAAACCGAUUUCGCCUGUGACGAAGCGUGAGUGACGGUAAUGGGUAAAGAAGCACCGGCUAACUACGUG